AGUGAACGCUGGCGGUAGGCCUAACACAUGCAAGUCGAACGGCAGCACAGUAAGAGCUUGCUCUUACGGGUGGCGAGUGGCGGACGGGUGAGGAAUACAUCGGAAUCUACUUUUUCGUGGGGGUUAACGUAGGGAAACUUACGCUAAUACCGCAUACGACCUACGGGUGAAAGCAGGGGAUCUUCGGACCUUGCGCGAUUGAAUGAGCCGAUGUCGGAUUAGCUAGUUGGCGGGGUAAAGGCCCACCAAGGCGACGAUCCGUAGCUGGUCUGAGAGGAUGAUAAGCCACACUGGAGCUGAGACACGGUCCAGACUCCUACGGGAGGCAGCAGUGGGGAAUAUUGGACAAUGGGCGCAAGCCUGAUCCAGCCAUACCGCGUGGGUGAAGAAGGCCUUCGGGUUGUAAAGCCCUUUUGUUGGGAAAGAAAAGCAGCAGGUUAAUACCCCGCUGUUCUGACGGUACCCAAAGAAUAAGCACCGGCUAACUUCGUG
RNAcentral lists this ribosomal RNA (492 nucleotides) under uncultured bacterium. RNAcentral describes it as "partial 16S ribosomal RNA". It matches the Rfam family "Bacterial small subunit ribosomal RNA", at positions 29 to 507 of the family's 1533-position model. The record is from RNAcentral.